Molecule: transfer RNA, 74 nt
Filed under: Bacillota bacterium
Lineage: Bacteria; Bacillati; Bacillota
Also listed under: 2 other names
Description: tRNA-Met
Rfam family: tRNA
About the family: Transfer RNA (tRNA) molecules are approximately 80 nucleotides in length. Their secondary structure includes four short double-helical elements and three loops (D, anti-codon, and T loops).
Source: RNAcentral
CGCGGAGUAGAGCAGUCUGGAAGCUCGUCGGGCUCAUAACCCGGAGGUCGUUGGUUCAAAUCCUUCCUCCGCAA